CCUACGGGAGGCAGCAGUGGGGAAUCUUGCGCAAUGGGCGAAAGCCUGACGCAGCCAUGCCGCGUGAAUGAUGAAGGUCUUAGGAUUGUAAAAUUCUUUCACCGGGGACGAUAAUGACGGUACCCGGAGAAGAAGCCCCGGCUAACUUCGUGCCAGCAGCCGCGGUAAUACGAAGGGGGCUAGCGUUGCUCGGAAUUACUGGGCGUAAAGGGCGCGUAGGCGGAUCGUUAAGUCAGAGGUGAAAUCCCAGGGCUCAACCCUGGAACUGCCUUUGAUACUGGCGAUCUUGAGUAUGAGAGAGGUAUGUGGAACUCCGAGUGUAGAGGUGAAAUUCGUAGAUAUUCGGAAGAACACCAAUCCCGCGGCCAUGGCGGCCCGGGAGCAUGCGACGUCGGC
Molecule: ribosomal RNA, 396 nt
Filed under: uncultured Brevundimonas sp.
Lineage: Bacteria; Pseudomonadati; Pseudomonadota; Alphaproteobacteria; Caulobacterales; Caulobacteraceae
Description: bacterial SSU rRNA
Rfam family: Bacterial small subunit ribosomal RNA
Source: RNAcentral